AAAAAGAUAAGCUAAGUAAGCUCGUGGGCUCAUACCCCAUUUAUGAGGUCAAAAUCCUCUCUUUUUA
This 67-nucleotide transfer RNA is filed under the name Solenocera alticarinata. RNAcentral's name for it is "tRNA-Met". Lineage: Eukaryota; Metazoa; Arthropoda; Malacostraca; Decapoda; Solenoceridae. The record is from RNAcentral. RNAcentral also lists the same sequence under 1 other name.